CAAUAAGCGGAGGAAAAGAAACCAACUGGGAUCACUUUAGUAACGGCGAGUGAAGCGGUAAAAGCUCAAAUUUGAAAUCUGGUACUUUCAGUGCCCGAGUUGUAAUUUGUAGAAUUUGUCUUUGAUUAGGUCCUUGUCUAUGUUCCUUGGAACAGGACGUCAUAGAGGGUGAGAAUCCCGUUUGGCGAGGAUACCUUUUCUCUGUAAGACUUUUUCGAAGAGUCGAGUUGUUUGGGAAUGCAGCUCAAAGUGGGUGGUAAAUUCCAUCUAAAGCUAAAUAUUGGCGAGAGACCGAUAGCGAACAAGUACAGUGAUGGAAAGAUGAAAAGAACUUUGAAAAGAGAGUGAAAAAGUACGUGAAAUUGUUGAAAGGGAAGGGCAUUUGAUCAGACAUGGUGUUUUUUGCAUGCACUCGCCUCUCGUGGGCUUGGGCCUCUCAAAAAUUUCACUGGGCCAACAUCAAUUCUGGCAGCAGGAUAAAUCAUUAAGAAUGUAGCUACUUCGGUAGUGUUAUAGCUUUUUGGAAUACUGUUAGCCGGGAUUGAGGACUGCGCUUCGGCAAGGAUGUU
Molecule: ribosomal RNA, 569 nt
Filed under: Hanseniaspora uvarum
Lineage: Eukaryota; Fungi; Ascomycota; Saccharomycetes; Saccharomycodales; Saccharomycodaceae
Description: eukaryotic LSU rRNA
Rfam family: Eukaryotic large subunit ribosomal RNA
Source: RNAcentral